Molecule: long non-coding RNA, 1252 nt
Filed under: Macaca fascicularis (crab-eating macaque)
Lineage: Eukaryota; Metazoa; Chordata; Mammalia; Primates; Cercopithecidae
Description: lncRNA (ENSMFAG00000063911.1)
Source: RNAcentral
UGGGCAACAUGGAGAAACCCCAUCUCUACAAAAAAAAAAAAAAAAAAAAAAUUGGCUGGGCACAGUGGCAUGCACCAUUAGUCCCAGCUACCCCGGAGGCUGAGGUGGGAGGAUCACCUGAGCCUGGGAGAUCAAGGCUGCAGUGAACCGUGAUAUUGUGUUACUGUACUCCAGCCUGGGUAGCAGAGCAAGACCCUGUAUUUAAAAAAAAAAAAAAGGCUAUAAUGUUGUUUCUUCCAGUUCCUAGGAUCGUCUCACACACUUGCUGGGACUUCAUAGACCAGAAUUUCCACAAAGUAAGGCAAGAUGAAAAUUUACAUGAGAAAACCUAAAUCCGCAGUCUACUUUGAAAAUAUGAAUUCCCUUCAUUCUAAGGUAGACAGAAAUCUUGUGCUAGAAGAUGAUGCCCAAACCCUAUUGGACCUUCGGAUUUCUUUGCGAACAUUGACUUGCGUGAAAACUAUCAUUUCUGACUUUAUUCUGCCUUUUAUCAAAAGCAACAUUUUUUUUAACCAUAGAAAAGCUUAUGCCAAAACUAUUUCCUGUAAACCCUCCUAUCUCGCUGAGAACCUUCAUUCUUCUCAGUAUUUCCAUGUAGUUCUUUUGCUAGAGCCUUUUAUGAAGUCAGUUCAGUGAUAGAUCAAACACAUAACCUGGUUUUCCUCUUCAUUGGUUUCAAUAUUAGAAAUCUCAUCACCCUUUUCUAGCUUCAUUUUUAGAAGGUUAAAGGUGGGGGCCAUUUUAAUUUUAAAAGCCGGACACUUCUGGUAUUCAGUAAGGGUCCCUGUGCAAUUCACCGACAACCUUUUAUGGUGUUUCCAUCUCCGUGUUGCUAUGUCUUUCUGAUAAUAUCCUCGGAAUUAGUAUUUCAUCUUCUGAUAUCUUCCCCAAAGUUGUCAAUUCUCAGUACUUCCUUUUGUGUUAAAGAGAACUCAGUUUCUUCCAGCAUUUUCACAAAUUUUAAUUGACAAAAAUUGUGUUUAUUUGUGGUAUACAACAUGAUGUUUUGAAAUAUGGAUGCAUUGUGGAAUGCUAAAUUGAGCUAAUUAAUGUAUGGACUACCUCACACAUCUUUUUUUUUUUUUUUGCGUUGAGAACAGUUAAUAUCUCUCUUAGUGAUUUUCAAGUAUACAAUAUUAACUACAGUCACUGUGUUGUAUGAUGGAUCUUCGUUCCAGGAUUUUUAAAUGUAUUUCAAAGAUGACAGUCUGUAACAACAUGAUCUUUAAAUAAACUUUAUUAUCCACCACUA